RNAcentral lists this ribosomal RNA (468 nucleotides) under uncultured bacterium. RNAcentral describes it as "partial 16S ribosomal RNA". It matches the Rfam family "Bacterial small subunit ribosomal RNA", at positions 28 to 507 of the family's 1533-position model. The record is from RNAcentral.
GACGAACGCUGGCGGCGUGCUUAACACAUGCAAGUCGAACGGAAAGGCCCUGCUUUUGUGGGGUGCUCGAGUGGCGAACGGGUGAGUAACACGUGAGUAACCUGCCCUUGACUUUGGGAUAACUUCAGGAAACUGGGGCUACUACCGGAUAGGAGCUCCUGCUGCAUGGUGGGGGUUGGAACGUUUCGGCGGUUGGGGAUGGACUCGCGGCUUAUGAGCUUGUUGGUGGGGUAGUGGCUUACCAAGGCUUUGACGGGUAGCCGGCCUGGGAGGGUGACCGGCCACAUUGGGACUGAGAUACGGCCCAGACUCCAACGGGAGGCAGCAGUGGGGAAUAUUGCACAAUGGGCGGAAGCCUGAGACAGCAACGCCGCGUGCGGGAAGACGGCCUUCGGGUAGUAAACCGCUUUCGCCUGUGACGAAGCGUGAGUGACGGUAAUGGGUAAAGAAGCACCGGCUAACUACGUG